Molecule: ribosomal RNA, 963 nt
Filed under: uncultured bacterium
Lineage: Bacteria
Description: bacterial SSU rRNA
Rfam family: Bacterial small subunit ribosomal RNA
Source: RNAcentral
CGGGAGCCGACGAGUGGCGGACGGGUGAGUAACGCGUAGGAAUCUGCCUGAUAGAGGGGGACAACGUGGGGAAACUCACGCUAAUACCGCAUACUCCCUACGGGGGAAAGCGGGGGACCUUCGGGCCUCGCGCUAUCAGAUGAGCCUGCGUUAGAUUAGCCAGUUGGUGGGGUAAAGGCCUACCAAGGCGACGAUCCGUAGCUGGUCUGAGAGGAUGAUCAGCCACACUGGGACUGAGACACGGCCCAGACUCCUACGGGAGGCAGCAGUGGGGAAUUUUGGACAAUGGGCGCAAGCCUGAUCCAGCCAUGCCGCGUGAGUGAAGAAGGCCUUCGGGUUGUAAAGCUCUUUCAGUUGGGAAGAAAAGGGUGUCUCUAACAUAGGCAUUCGAUGACGGUACCGACAGAAGAAGCACCGGCUAACUACGUGCCAGCAGCCGCGGUAAUACGUAGGGUGCGAGCGUUAAUCGGAAUUACUGGGCGUAAAGCGUGCGCAGGCGGCUGUGUAAGACAGGUGUGAAAUCCCCGGGCUUAACCUGGGAAUGGCGCUUGUGACUGCACGGCUAGAGUACGGCAGAGGGGGGUGGAAUUCCACGUGUAGCAGUGAAAUGCGUAGAGAUGUGGAGGAACACCGAUGGCGAAGGCAGCCCCCUGGGCCGAUACUGACGCUCAUGCACGAAAGCGUGGGGAGCAAACAGGAUUAGAUACCCUGGUAGUCCACGCCGUAAACGAUGUUCACUCGCUGUUGGCGAUACACAGUCAGCGGCCAAGCGAAAGCAUUAAGUGAACCACCUGGGGAGUACGAUCGCAAGGUUGAAACUCAAAGGAAUUGACGGGGGCCCGCACAAGCGGUGGAGCAUGUGGAUUAAUUCGAUGAUACGCGAGGAACCUUACCUGGGCUUAAAUGGUAAUUGACCGUCGCCGAAAGGUGUCUUUCUUUUAGACAAUUAUCAAGGUGCUGCAU